AUUUCCCCAAUGGGUUCUCCGGAUUUCUGGAGACUUGUAGGGGUUGUGGGAUUUUUGAUGUGUCGUCUCCGGACGGGCGGUGCAGGGUAGUCGAGUUAGACUUGGUGGAAUUCCGUCGAUAGGAGUUCCGUCGAGUCUGGUCGGCUGUGUGUUGGACGGUGCAGGGUAGGCUGCUUGGACAUGGUCGGUUCGAGGAUCGAUUCGAGGGCCGGCGCCUGUCGAUGAUGUGUGAAGUAUGCGGUCUAGGGUAGGCUGGUUUGUCUUGUUUCAAUUUGAUGUCGGCUCCCGUGCAGGCCAGAGUGAGGGGGGUCCGGGGUAGGUACAGGGUAGGCAGCUUAGAUUUGGUCGAUCUGGAGGUCGAUUCUCCGGCUGGCGGAUCUGACACUGUCGAAACGAGAUGCGAGCGGUGUAGGGUAGGCUAGUUUCGUCCUCGCCAGGUUGCGAUUUGGACGAGAUAUGUGGUUUAGGGUAUGCUCUAGGGUAAGUAGAAUUCGAGUUUCGUCGCCGACAGUUAUCUGUGGGUGUAUGGUAGGUACAGGGUAGGCAAAUCUCUCUCCGGCCAGUACUUGUCUGGUGGUCGUGAGUCGAUUUUUUUGUUUU
This 600-nucleotide unclassified non-coding RNA is filed under the name Fusarium oxysporum. RNAcentral describes it as "partial miscellaneous RNA". The record is from RNAcentral. Lineage: Eukaryota; Fungi; Ascomycota; Sordariomycetes; Hypocreales; Nectriaceae.